AAACAACCAUAAAACAUAUAUGUCUCUUCUCUCACAAAUAAACUCCUUCAUUUUUCCAAACUUCACAUUUCAUAGAUCAAUACUAACAACUUCUAUAACAUCAUAAAACCAUAUUUCUUCUCCAUUUAACACCAUUUUCUUCAUGAUACAAACCAUUCAUGUAAAAGCAACUUACACCAUAAACUCAUCACACCAACUCAACUUCUCUCCACUUCCAUAAAACAACCACAACCAUUAACCUUUUCUUCAUACAUAACACGUCAAAUAUUAACCACAUCUCUUUACCCAUCAACAACCAUGAAAAAGGGAAAUGGAAAAUGUUGAGAAAAAGUGAUAAGUUUGAAGAGGAUCUUUCUCCAUUAAUCUUUAUUUUUUUAGACAACCAACAUCAACACACUUCCGAUGAACCUUCCUUUCCGGUUCCUUCGCCUUUGUUUCAGUUUUGACGAUGCUCCUAGCUCCGACGCGAUUGUCG
RNAcentral lists this long non-coding RNA (475 nucleotides) under Lathyrus oleraceus (garden pea). RNAcentral's name for it is "Pisum sativum (pea) long non-coding RNA (PSAT_LNC026960)". Lineage: Eukaryota; Viridiplantae; Streptophyta; Magnoliopsida; Fabales; Fabaceae. The record is from RNAcentral.